GACGAACGCUGGCGGCGUGCCUAAUACAUGCAAGUAGAACGCACAGUUUAUACCGUAGCUUGCUACACCAUACACUGUGAGUUGCGAACGGGUGAGUAACGCGUAGGUAACCUGCCUGGUAGCGGGGGAUAACUAUUGGAAACGAUAGCUAAUACCGCAUAAUAUUAAUUAUUGCAUGAUAAUUGAUUGAAAGAUGCAAUUGCAUCACUACCAGAUGGACCUGCGUUGUAUUAGCUAGUAGGUGAGGUAACGGCUCACCUAGGCGACGAUACAUAGCCGACCUGAGAGGGUGAUCGGCCACUCUGGGACUGAGACACGGCCCAGACUCCUACGGGAGGCAGCAGUAGGGAAUCUUCGGCAAUGGACGAAAGUCUGACCGAGCAACGCCGCGUGAGUGAAGAAGGUUUUCGGAUCGUAAAGCUCUGUUGUAAGAGAAGAACGGGUGUGAGAGUGGAAAGUUCACACUGUGACGGUAUCUUACCAGAAAGAGACGGCUAACUACGUG
RNAcentral lists this ribosomal RNA (505 nucleotides) under uncultured bacterium. RNAcentral's name for it is "partial 16S ribosomal RNA". It matches the Rfam family "Bacterial small subunit ribosomal RNA", at positions 28 to 507 of the family's 1533-position model. The record is from RNAcentral.